GCUGAGGGGGUAGGAUUGCCUGAGCCCAGGACGUCCGGGCUGCAGGGAGCUGGGUUCACAACACUGCCCUCCAGCCUGGGUGACAGAGAGAGACCUUGCCUUAAACAAAAACCAAAAAACUGACUAGGCAGGGGCAGGCUCCCAGGCUCUCGCCACUUCUGGCCGCCAUAAACAGAGAAGCAGUGUGCUGCGGCUGCUGAAAACCAAAAUUAACUGCUGCCUCAGCCAAACCAACAGAAGUGGAAGUGUGGCUCCGAGGUCUGGGAAGUCCCACUGCUCUUGGCAUGGCACCGGGGUGGGGUCACCCUUCAAGAGACCACUGAACGCGUCCCCCAGUGCACCGCAUCCCAGCCCGAGACUGCAGAGUGCAGCGGCCCGGACUGUGUGCGCCAACACGCAAGGAAAGCACCUUCCUCAAAAUCACACAGCAAGCCAGUGACCCAGCCAGAACCAGCCCCAGACUCCCCACUCACAGUCCCACCUGUUCCCCACGCCGGCUGUACCCCUCCCUGCCAUGGUCAGUGACGAGACUGUGCUCCAGGGACCUCUGUCACCCUCAAGAAGAGAGGGAUCACCCAUCUCAAUCCCAAAGGCUGGGCUGCAGCCCCGAUGCUGGAAGUAAGGAGAGGGCCUCUUCCCUGGGUGGGUGUCUCCAGGCCCCUGGCCACCCUCUGGCAGAGCCCGUCCAUGCUUUCAGUUUCCCCAGGCCGCCUGUCCCAGCUGCCCUGACCCUGGGACUUUAAGAGGCCAGGCUAGUUUGCAGUCCCCUCCUACCUGGAAGCUGUUCCAUCCGGUACCAUCCAGGCUUGGGCCUGAAGGGGGUGUGGGGUCACUGAGGCCUGAGGGGAAAGCAGGAGAGAGGUGAAGGAACUGGGCUGCCCCUGCAGAGGCCAGAGCGCCAAGGGGCAUGUGUGCCGGCGUGGGGCUCCCUGCCCCCUUUCUGAGGCUGCAUAUGGAGGGGAGAAACCCACGCCUUCAGAAGCAACCAGCAGCAGAGCAGAACUAGAAACCAAGAUCCUGGUAGCCCCUGGUGGUGACCCCACACAUGCUUCCCCUCUUCUCAACCAGGCCACUCUGAAGCUACUGUGCACACAGAAAACAGACAUCAGGACUUUCAUCUUCACUCGCUGGCUGGCAGCACAGAGCAGCUCUGUGCCCGCCUGAGGCCAACUGCCCACUCAAGGGACGCCUGCUGCGUGACUGUGGGCUAAACACCAUGCUGGCUGAGCCACAGCGUCCCCCUGAGUACAAGGACAGGGCUUGACUGGGGGCAAUGCUGAAGGUCCUGUCGGCCUUGGUAUGUGCCAAUGAGGCUCACUGGUACCACAGAGGGAGGGGGAUCCUGUGGAUGGCCCUGGAAUUAGCUGUGGAUGGGAAGGAGGCAGCAGGUCACCAGCCAGCCUGACCUCUGCCUGCCCUGGAAUACUGUCAGCCAAGUUCACCCCAGAUCUGACCUAGAGAAGAUAAAUGAUCUUGUUUCUAGUAAAUCCUGAAAAAGUGAGGUCCAAUAUGAAGCGCUACCUGACAGGCAAAGGCAAAAGUACCAGGAAGCUGGGGCAGCUGGGUCUCUUCUAGCUGUGCCUCUUAGAGGCUGGAGAGCAAGUGCACUGAUGAUGCCCUGGAUGUGUCAGGCCCUGUAGAUGCUUUGAAGGUUGUUUGAUUAAUCCUCAAACAACCUUCAAAGGGAAGGGCAAGGUUCUCAGCCCUCUUUUAGGAUAAGAAAAUGGACCCAGAGGCGUUAAGUAACCUGCCCAAGGUCACACAGCUGGAAAGUGGCAGAGUCUGGACUUGGACUGAACAUGGCCCGACUGCCACCAUCUGAACACAACUCUGACACUUGGCCAUGUGAUACUGGCGGCGGGGGUGGGGGGGGUGCGGGGGGCAGGCAGCCUCAUCUUCAAAAUGGAGACAGCAGCCAGGUGCAGUGGCUAAUGUCUGUAAUCCCAGCUAUUUGGGAGACUGAAGCUGGAGUCUGAGAUAAGCUCAGACAACAUUAGCCAAUGUCUGUGGUCCCACCUACUUGGGAGGCUGAGAUGGGAGGAUUAGCGAAGGACAGAAGUUUGAGAUCAGCCUGAGCAAUGUAGUGAGACCCCAUCUCAAAACGAAAGAGAGGGGGGCGCAGUGGUUCAAGCCUGUCAUCCCAGCACUUUAGGAGGCCGAGGCGGCCAGAUCACUUGAGGCCAGGAGUUCAAUGCCAACCCGGCCAACAAGGGGGAAAUCCUGUGUCUUUAAGAAACAAAUUAACCAGGUGUGGUGGCACACACCUGUAGUCCCAACUACUCAGGAGCCUGAGGUGGGAGGAUCGCUUGAGACGGGAGAGGUGGAGGCUGCCUGAACACCCUCUUUGACAGACAGGAACCCUGUCCCACCCUGCCAUGGAGAGCAGUGGGGACAAGCCCCUCUGCGGCCCCAGGGCCUCCUCUACUCCCCAGGCCCAGGCUGCAGGUUGCCCGGGCACUUCUGGCUCCUACGCCCCCACACUUUGCCUCUGAGAGAAAACCAGAAGGAAGCUGGUGGCUCAGGGCUCUGCCGAUGCGGCUCGGGGACAGGAAGUGCAGCUUGCACCUCGCUUCUCCUGUGGCGGUGGCACUGCGGCUGCCUGCAAGGGUCUGGUGGUCCCGCAGUGCUUCCCUACUCACCAACUGCAGCUCAGGUGGCUGCCGCCCAGGGCUGGCUCCACAGGGGAAGGUAAACCUUGUGGAAGCGUUUGUUGACCAUUCUUUACCUCUGUAGAAUGGGGUAAAGGUCUUCUCCCCGAGGUCACCCUUGGCUCUGAAUGAAGAGGGGGCAGCUGUGUGGGGCUCGUAAGCGGCUUCAGGGAGGGUGCUGGCUGGUGGGUUCACAAGGGGACUCACAACCAGGCCUCCUUCCCUCAGCUCUCCCUCCACACCCCAGGUCAUUUCCCUUUAUUUGCUUAUGGACAAUGAGUCACAGCAGCAGAGCAGCUCAGAGUGUGGCUUCAGGAUCAGAGCCUAGCUCAAGUCCUGGAGCCCUUUCUGCACAAGUCACACAGUCUUUUUCUUUUGAGAUGGGGUCUUGCUCUGUCACCCAGGCUGGAGUGCAAAUGGCAUGAUCUCGGCUUACUGCAACCUCCGCCUCCCCAGUUCAAGUGAUUCUCUUGCCUCAGCCA
Molecule: long non-coding RNA, 3130 nt
Organism: Cebus imitator (Panamanian white-faced capuchin)
Lineage: Eukaryota; Metazoa; Chordata; Mammalia; Primates; Cebidae
Exons: 3
Source: RefSeq, a predicted model, not a curated record